UUCAUGAGUCAUUCAAUCAUUUGUGAGACUGUAGCCAUCUGACCGUGGAUGAGAAGAAUUCAGACCCAAUGCCAGUGAGGAGGAGCUGGUGAAAAAUGAAGAUAAUUCUGGGAAGAGACUGCAGCCCUGGGCUGUGAGGUGGACCUGGGCUGAAGUCACAGGUGGAAGGAGCUUGCUGGAACCUCUGUGUUUUUACAACAUAUACACCAUGGAAAGGAGCCAGGACCAGCCUGCUGGAGCAUGUGGCCCAUGAGAGAGGCCAUCCAGGAACAACCAACUCAGUCAAUGUGUCAGCUGACCAAGGCUGCCUGAGCAAGCCAGGGAAGAUCAGCAGAAGAAUCACCCAGCUGAACCCAACCCAAACGGCAGACCCUCAGAAUGAAAAGAUGUUCUAUCUGAAAACAGUCUACACCUAGAUCAUAGGAUGCUUCCAAGAGAAGGUGGAAUGAUUUAGAACACAGACUACAAGCAAUCUUUGGAUUAGAAAGAGAUACCUGUAUUGGGUCAUAAUGUUUAUAAAUAUGUAUUUCCCAAAGUAGGUAUUUGUUUGCUUGUUUGUUUUGAGACAGGGUCUCACUCUGUCACCCAGGCCGGAGCACAGGGGUGCCAUAUGCUGCAGCUGCCACCUCCUAGACUCACUCAACCCUCUCACCUCAGCUUCCUGAGUAGCUGGGACUACAGGUGUCUACCAUCAUGCCUGGCUAAUUUUUGUAUUUUUUUGUGGAGAUGGGGUCUCAUGUUGUCCAGGCUGGUCUCAAACUCCUGGGCUCAAGCAAUUCACCUUCUUUGGCCUCCCAGAGUGCUGGGAUUACAGGCAUGAGCCACUGCAUGCUGCAAAAGUAGACAUUUAAAGAGCAUAUUGUUUUGUCAAAGAUGAUGGCAGCCCCAAGACACCGUGCAUACAUUAAAUGUAGAGCACUUAAUUACAUAAUGUCUUGGCAGCAUACAGGAGAUCAAUUCUGUCUCAGAACAAACCCUUCUUCUCAGGAAGUGGUGCUUCAUUCUCUUUCUUCAGUGUGAGCCAAGGACCAGCUACUGGAAUUGAUGACAUGAAGAACUGACUGCAUCCAUCAGAUUCUACACUGGUACAAUUCAUGCAUGGCAUGCACUACUUCAGAAAGAAUGACAGACCGGGCGCGGUGGCUCACUCCUGUAAUCCCAGCACUUUGGAAGGCUGAGGUGGGUGAAUCACCUGAUGUCAGGAG
This is a long non-coding RNA of Chlorocebus sabaeus (green monkey), 1205 nucleotides long. RefSeq lists it as uncharacterized. The record is from RefSeq and is a predicted model, not a curated record. NCBI's taxonomy places the organism in Eukaryota, Metazoa, Chordata, Mammalia, Primates, Cercopithecidae.